ACUUAGCUAAAACGUUUGGUUCAAAACAUUUGCUUGCUGUCUUGGCAUAACAUCAUAAAGGCAUAACAUCGCAAAUAUGGUAUAUAUAAUGGCUAUGAGGAUGGUUUAGUACGUAGCGUGCGGACUCGGUCAAUAGAGCAUGAUCGUGCAUGCUAGGAAACUGAC
This is a non-coding RNA of Drosophila simulans, 165 nucleotides long. NCBI's taxonomy places the organism in Eukaryota, Metazoa, Arthropoda, Insecta, Diptera, Drosophilidae. The record is from Rfam.